RNAcentral lists this ribosomal RNA (253 nucleotides) under uncultured bacterium. Its description in RNAcentral is "partial 16S ribosomal RNA". It matches the Rfam family "Bacterial small subunit ribosomal RNA", at positions 524 to 776 of the family's 1533-position model. The record is from RNAcentral.
UACGGAGGGUGCAAAUGUUGCUCGGAAUUAUUGGGCGUAAAGCGCACGUAGGCGGCCUUGUAAGUCGGAUGUGAAAUCCCUCGGCUUAACCGAGGACGUGCAUCCGAAACUGUGAGGCUCGAGUAUGGAAGAGGGUCGCAGAAUUCCCGGUGUAGAGGUGAAAUUCGUAGAUAUCGGGAGGAAUACCAGUGGCGAAGGCGGCGACCUGGGCCAAUACUGACGCUGAGGUGCGAAAGCGUGGGGAGCAAACAGG